Non-coding RNA from Marmota flaviventris (yellow-bellied marmot), 372 nucleotides. The record is from RefSeq and is a predicted model, not a curated record. Lineage: Eukaryota; Metazoa; Chordata; Mammalia; Rodentia; Sciuridae.
UGCCACAGUGGCACACACCUGUAAACCCAGCAACGGGAGAGGCUAAGGCAAGAGGAUCGCAAGUUCAAGGCCAGCAUCAGCAACUAGCCAGACCCUGUCCUCAGAGAAAGGAAGCAAAGGGGAACAGGCUCUGUGGCAUCCGUCCUUUGUCCCUGCUGUUUGGAAAGGCGACCUGGGGGCUACGUUCAAGACGACUGGGGGCUGCAGACAAAAACUCGCCUUUCUUGGGCUCGAGGGGCUGGAGGCGGGAGGCUGAGCCUCCAGGGCCCUUGCCGCACCUUCCCCUCCGAGGGGGCUUCUCCCAGGACCAAGAACAUCAGCGACAUUCCCAACCGUACAACGACAACGUUGGUUUAAAAGACAAACAAAAAA